This 419-nucleotide ribosomal RNA is filed under the name bacterium. Its description in RNAcentral is "partial 16S ribosomal RNA". It matches the Rfam family "Bacterial small subunit ribosomal RNA", at positions 355 to 776 of the family's 1533-position model. The record is from RNAcentral.
UGGGGGAUAUUGCACAAUGGGCGAAAGCCUGAUGCAGCGACGCCGCGUGGGGGAUGAAGGCCUUCGGGUUGUAAACUUCUUUUGCUCUGAACAAGGCAUGCUAAUGGGUGUGUUGAGUGUAGGGGUUGAUUAGCGCCGGCUAACUACGUGCCAGCAGCCGCGGUAAUACGUAGGGCGCGAGCGUUGUCCGGAAUUAUUGGGCGUAAAGGGCUUGUAGGUGGCUGGUUGCGUCUGUCGUGAAAGCUCAUGGCUUAACUGUGGGUUUGCGGUGGGUACGGGCUGGCUUGAGUGCAGUAGGGGAGGCUGGAAUUCCUGGUGUAGCGGUGGAAUGCGUAGAUAUCAGGAGGAAUACCGGUGGCGAAGGCGGGUCUCUGGGCUGUUACUGACACUGAGGAGCGAAAGCAUGGGGAGCGAACAGG